Molecule: ribosomal RNA, 467 nt
Filed under: uncultured bacterium
Lineage: Bacteria
Description: partial 16S ribosomal RNA
Rfam family: Bacterial small subunit ribosomal RNA
Source: RNAcentral
GACGAACGCUGGCGGCGUGCUUAACACAUGCAAGUCGAACGGAAAGGCCUCUUUCGGGGGGUACUCGAGUGGCGAACGGGUGAGUAACACGUGAGUAACCUGCCCUUGACUUUGGGAUAACUUCAGGAAACUGGGGCUAAUACCGGAUAGGAGCUCCUGCUGCAUGGUGGGGGUUGGAAAGUUUCGGCGGUUGGGGAUGGACUCGCGGCUUAUCAGCUUGUUGGUGGGGUAGUGGCUUACCAAGGCUUUGACGGGUAGCCGGCCUGAGAGGGUGACCGGCCACAUUGGGACUGAGAUACGGCCCAGUCUCCUACGGGAGGCAGCAGUGGGGAAUAUUGCACAAUGGGUGGAAGCCUGAUGCAGCAACGCCGUGUGCGGGAUGACGGCCUUCGGGUUGUAAACCGCUUUCGCUCAUGACGAAGCUUUGUGUGACGGUAGUGGGUAAAGAAGCACCGGCUAACUACGUG